This 133-nucleotide ribosomal RNA is filed under the name uncultured bacterium. RNAcentral's name for it is "partial 16S ribosomal RNA". It matches the Rfam family "Bacterial small subunit ribosomal RNA", at positions 355 to 480 of the family's 1533-position model. The record is from RNAcentral.
UGAGGAAUUUUGCGCAAUGGGGGAAACCCUGACGCAGCAACGCCGCGUGAGUGAUGAAGGCCUUCGGGUCGUAAAGCUCUGUCAAGUGGGAAGAAUCUGUCCGGUGAUAAUACCGCUGGGCAAUGACGUACCG